CAGAUGAAGAGAAAGCCGCCAGUGUCACCUUCCUAGUUGUUUAAAAGCCCGAGCUUCUGUACAAGCUCCACUCACUGCCUCAGGGAUCAGCCAACAGAUUUGGUCCCAUAUCCAGGUGCCUUGGCACAAGGGGCGGGAUUUCAUCUCCUCUGUCAUCUUCAUCAUCCAGAGGGGUUGUUGAUUGGUGCCCUCUAUGUUCACAUCAGGACUGCACAUGACCUGGGUGUCUGGGAAGAUCUUGAUGCCCAGGAAGAGGUGACUGGGGAUCUACUGGGAGGAACACUGGAAUGCGCGUCAGGAGCUCUUCCUAGGACUCAAUGCCUGGGCCAUCCCAGGGUUCCUCUCCCACCAUUUUAUUGUCUGGUUGGAUGUUACGGACAGUGUUCCAUUGAGCUGGGAACAGAAGAAGCUGUACAUUCAUUUUACAAAUAUUUGUGGAGUGCCCACUUUGUGCCAGGCAUUGUUCAAGGUCAGGAGAAGCAGCAGUGAAGAAAACAGUCACAAAUUCCUGCCUUCCUGAAGCUUAUCUUCUGGUGGAUACUGAUUUUAAAUAUUGGAAAAUUACCCAUGGUGUUCAAAAAGAAAUUUAUUGGCGCUGUUCUAGAUGCAGUAGAUAUAGUGGUAAACAAAGCAAGCAAAAAUUUCUUCCCUGCUACAGUUGUACUGGGAGUCAGUCUGAAAACUUGAACAUGGUGGACC
Mirounga angustirostris (Northern elephant seal) is the source of this 699-nucleotide long non-coding RNA. RefSeq lists it as uncharacterized. Lineage: Eukaryota; Metazoa; Chordata; Mammalia; Carnivora; Phocidae. The transcript is spliced from 4 exons. The record is from RefSeq and is a predicted model, not a curated record.